GACGAACGCUGGCGGCGUGCCUAAUACAUGCAAGUCGAACGCAGUGGGGACGGGUGAGUAACACGUGGGUAACCUCCCAUCAGAGGGGAUAACACUUGGAAACAGGUGCUAAACCGAUAUUGAUGGAUGGACCCGCGGUGCAUUAGCUAGUUGGGGAGGUAACGGCUCACCAAGGCCACGAUGCAUAGCCGGCCUUGGGUGGGGAACGGGCACAACGGGACUGAGACCAGGGCCAGAAUCCUUCGGGGAGGAGCAGGUGGGAAGUAUCGGCAAAGGAGGAAAGUCUGAACGAGCAACGGCGCGUGAGUGAAGAAGGGUUUCGGGGCGUAAAACUCUGUUGGUUGGGAAGCGGUAUAUAACAAGAAAGCCACGGCUAACUACGGGCCAGCAGCCGCGGUAAUAC
Molecule: ribosomal RNA, 403 nt
Filed under: uncultured bacterium
Lineage: Bacteria
Description: partial 16S ribosomal RNA
Rfam family: Bacterial small subunit ribosomal RNA
Source: RNAcentral